This 477-nucleotide long non-coding RNA is filed under the name Nicotiana benthamiana. RNAcentral's name for it is "long non-coding RNA (NBEN_LNC033578)". Lineage: Eukaryota; Viridiplantae; Streptophyta; Magnoliopsida; Solanales; Solanaceae. The record is from RNAcentral.
GAGCAAUCCAUAAUCAUGAGGGUUAUUGGCUACUCCUAAUUUUUGUACCAUUCAACAAUACUACAAGGAAUUGCUUGCCCUCUUUCAUGGAUUACAAAUUACUAUUACCAAUAAUUUGCUAUCGCUCAUAGUGGAAACUGAUUUGUAGGUACUUCUUACACUACUACCACAAGGUAUUUCAAAAUACUCACAUCUAUUUCAUGUUUGUAGGUUGAUAUUGCAUGACUUACGCAUACCACAACUCAACCACACUUACAGGAAAGGUAAUACUGUUGCGCAUGCACUGGCGCAUUUUGGCAAGGAGCUUAGUCUUACAGAGCCUGCUGAUAUUCUAAUUUUUGAUACCCCACCCUUUAUUUUGCCGUAGCUACUUUUGGAUUCGCGGGGUACUAACCCUUCUUGUAGUAACUAUGUUCUGAACAAAUAAAAUCGUUGUUAUUCGCAAAAAGAAAAAGAAAAAGAAAAAAGACAAGCCUA